CAGAAAGUUGCUGUAAAAACAAGAGGAACAGUGUUGUCUGCCUACGCCUCGUACCGCUGAUCUCUUACCGUGAUUGCGGAUUGUUCUGAUGAGAAGGGAAGUUACAAGGGCCACAGAUGAUGAACUCCAGCUAGUGAGGUUAAUCAAAAUUUCAGCAGUUCUUCACAGCCCAGUGGAAUCAUCACAGACCCGUUAUAUUUAGCUGAGUGAUGCUGCUUUGUAUUCAUGUUUUGAGCUAUGGAGGUGAUCACAUCAGUUAGGUGGAUGCUGAGCAGCUGUGGGAUUGGAUGAAAGACUUAUGAAAUUCCCUGGAGAAAGCGGGAGGCUCUCCAAGUAACACAAAGGCAGUAGUGAUCAAGAAGCAGGAAAAUGUCUAUGCUGGGAAGGAACUGUAGAAAUCGUUAUACAUGCCAAAUCUGUCAAGAAUAAUACUUACUAUUAGCAGUAUGUUAUGCAGUUAUCAUCAGAUCACAGUGAAGUAGUGACAGCAAGUUUAACAAGAUGUUUAUGUAAUUAAUCCUUUGGUUGAUGUAUUGUUUGUAAAGUACUACAAUGGUAGUGAAACUGUCAUGCCUCCAGUGAGGCCUCUUAAAUGAAAUAAAAACAAGUCAGUACAUGGUUGUACCGACAUUGAGGAUGUACAAUUCUACAUGGUGCUGCUCUAUUCACCAUGCU
This is a long non-coding RNA of Empidonax traillii (willow flycatcher), 675 nucleotides long. RefSeq lists it as uncharacterized. The transcript has 3 exons. NCBI's taxonomy places the organism in Eukaryota, Metazoa, Chordata, Aves, Passeriformes, Tyrannidae. The record is from RefSeq and is a predicted model, not a curated record.